This 77-nucleotide transfer RNA is filed under the name Cerasicoccus arenae. RNAcentral describes it as "tRNA-Ile". It matches the Rfam family "tRNA". From Rfam's summary of the family: Transfer RNA (tRNA) molecules are approximately 80 nucleotides in length. Lineage: Bacteria; Pseudomonadati; Verrucomicrobiota; Opitutia; Puniceicoccales; Cerasicoccaceae. The record is from RNAcentral. RNAcentral also lists the same sequence under 1 other name.
GGGCGAUUAGCUCAGUUGGUUAGAGCAUCGUGUUGAUAACGCGAGGGUCACUGGUUCGAGUCCAGUAUCGCCCACCA